RNAcentral lists this long non-coding RNA (1326 nucleotides) under Anthonomus grandis grandis. RNAcentral describes it as "uncharacterized LOC126746828". The record is from RNAcentral. Lineage: Eukaryota; Metazoa; Arthropoda; Insecta; Coleoptera; Curculionidae.
CCCUGUAUAAAAUUUAAAAAAUUCCAAAAACCCCAGAGGCGAUAAUGUGCGCGUAAGCAACUUUAAGCUGUAAUUUCAAUUUUUAUGAAAAAUCAGGUUUAUGGAGCUUUUUUUUCCGAUUUCAACGAUACCAAACACCCUAUAGUUAUCUCCAAUAGUUCAGGAGAUAUUCGCGAAAAACAUUUGGUCCUUCGAGCCAGAUUUUGCACUUUAAGUCCUUAUAUCUUGGAAACUGUUCAAGGUAACCCUAAGGUGUUUGGGCUCAUUUUAAUCAGUAUAAAAUUCUCUAUCCAACUAGUUUAAAAUCCCGAUAAUUAAAAAAAUAAUUUUUUAUUAAGUGCUUGGAAAAUAAUUUUUAUUUGCAUAGCUCCAUAGAGCUUUCUUUUCCGAUUCCAUUAAUACCAAACACCCUAUAGUUAUCUCCAAUAGUUAAGGAGAUAUUCGCGAAAAACAUUUGGUCCUUCGAGCCGGAUUUUGCACUGUAAUCUUCAUAUCUUGGAAACUAUUGAAGAUAACUAUAUAGUGUUUGGGCUCAUUUUAUUCAGCAGAAAAUUCUCUAUUCAACCAGUUAAAAAUCUAAACAAUAAAAAAAAAUUAUUUUCAAGUUCCUGGAAUAUAAUUCUCAUUUGCAUAAGUCAAUAGAGCCUUCGUUCGCGAUUCUAUUAAUAGCAAACACUCUAUAUCUAUCUUCAAUACUUUAGGAGAUAUUCGCGAAAAUCAUUUGGUCCUUCGAGCCGGAUUUUGCACUUUAAGUCCUUAUAUCUUGGAAACUGUUCAAGGUAACCCUAAGGUGUUUGGGCUCAUUUCAAUCAGUAUAAAAUUCUCUAUCCAACUGGUUUAAAAUCCCGAUAAUUAAAAAAAUAAUUUUUUAUUAAGUGCUUGGAAAAUAAUUUUUAUUUGCAUAGCUCCAUAGAGCUUUCUUUUCCAAUUCCAUUAAUACCAAACACCCUAUAGUUAUCUCCAAUAGUUCAGGAGAUAUUCGCGAAAAACAUUUGGUCCUUCAAGCCGGAUUUUGCACUGUAAUCGUCAUAUCUUCGAAACUAUUGAAGAUAACUAUAUAGUGUUUGGGCUCAUUUUAUUCACCAGAAAAUUCUCUAUUCAAUCAGUUAAAAAUCGAAACAAUAAAAAAAAUAUUUUAUUUUCAAGUUCCUGGAAUAUAAUUCUCAUUUGCAUAAGUCAAUAGAGCCUUCGUUCGUGAUUCUAUUAAUACCAAACACUCUAUAUCUAUCUUCAAUACUUUAGGAGAUAUUCGCGAAAAACAUUUGGUCCUUCGAGCCGGUCUUUCUACCUGGUGAUGGCCUACGGCCGAAACCGCUAGACACUAAU